Ricinus communis (castor bean) is the source of this 1506-nucleotide long non-coding RNA. RefSeq lists it as uncharacterized. The record is from RefSeq and is a predicted model, not a curated record. The transcript has 2 exons. Lineage: Eukaryota; Viridiplantae; Streptophyta; Magnoliopsida; Malpighiales; Euphorbiaceae.
UCCUCUACACCGAGUAAUUCCUUGAUUGCAUCUCUUGUUGGUUGCGCCAUAUUAGCACUGAAAAAAAUCUCCAAUUUUUCAAAAUUUAUUUUCUGGCUCGAGUCUACCUCAGAAUUUUGUUUCAAAUUUUGGCACUCCCUAAUGUUUGCCCGAGCGAAAAGAAUGCUAUCAUCUGCAGAAAAUAAAUGAGAAAUCUUCGGACUAAUCCUACAAACUUUCACCCCAUGAAUGUCAUUGUUAUGUAUAACUUUCCUAAUCAUUGUGAUAACCCUUCUUCACAUAAGAUUAAUAAAGAGGGCGAUAUAGUUGACGAAGACCCCUGGUUAGUUUAAGAAAAGCUUUACAUUGGCCAUUAAUAAUAAAUGAAAAAGAAGUACAAGACAAACAAUUCAUAAUCAAAGUAAUAAAAUGAUCAGGAAACUUCAUCUUAAUCAUGAUUCUCUAGAGAUAUUCCCACACAAGGCCUGACAUCUCUUACAUAGUUAACAAACUUAGUCAGUAUAUGCAACAUCCUACAACAAUUCAUCUCUAAGGAGUCAAAAGAGUCUUAAGAUAUCUAAAGAGCACUAGAAAGAGAUUUUACAUUAAGCCAUGCACUGCUCUAACUCUUCAAAGCUUUACUGAUGCUGACUAUGCAUGUUGUCUAGAUGAGAUAAAAUCAACAACUGGCUACUGUGUGUAUCUUGGUAAGACUCUAGUGUCCUGGUCAUCCAAGAAAUAAAAGGAUGUAUCCAAAUCAAGUGCAGAAUCUGAAUAUAAGGCUUUAGCAGAAGCUACUUGUGAAAUUAUCUGGUUAGAAUCAUUUCUAAAAGAAAUUUCCUUCUCUCCCAUCUGCACCCCUGUCCUUUGGUGUGAUAAUCUCAGUGCUAGUGUUCUAGCAGCUAAUCUUGUUUUCCACACUAGAACUAAGCAUAUAGAGGUGGAUGUGCACUUUAUAAGAAAUAGAGUCUUAACAAAGAAGUUGGAUGUCAGGUUUAUUCCUUUCCAUGAUCAAACUGCAGAUUGUCUCACUAAAACCUUAUCUCACAGUCCAUUCGAGUUCAUGAGGGAAAAAUUUGGUGUGGUUGAAUCAGAGAUAUCCACCCCAAGUUUGGAAGGGAGAGUUAGAACCAAUCCAAGAAAAGGGUUUGGUGUAACCUCCAAGGAAGCUCCAAGCUACAUGUCGUCAGUGCACUGUCAAUGGAAAUUAACAGUAAUGAAAUUUCCAUUCCAUGUUGGACAAGUCUUUGGAAAAGCUUAUCACUGCCGCAACUUGAACUAUUGGUUUGGUUAGUUUUGCAUGGUAAAGUGAAUACAAGAAGUUAGUGAAAAGAGGAAUUCUUGAUCUAUCCUUAAACAUAUGUCCUCUAUGCAACUCGUUUCCUAUAGAAGUCGAACACUUGUUCAUUCAUUACCGCUGGUCUUGGAAAAUCUAGUCUAAACUGUUUGCUUGGUGGAACCAAGUAUGGUGUAUUCCUUUCUUCGUUUUGAUUUUUAUGAACAAUAAUAACAGUAAGUUUUAGAGUA